CCUCCACUGACCAUAUGAGACUCAUUUCUCAUCUUUACAAGUUCUGGACAGCAAGAAGAAGAAAGAAGAGAAGGGAAGAGAAGGAGGUUCGGCUAGAGAUUUCAGUCCUUAGGUCUUUGAUAGAGGGUUCAGCUGCAAGAUGAGGAGAGCAGUCACCUACAAAAUUCUAGUUCUGAGCAUGAUGCUAUGGCUAUGGAUCAGUUGGCUUGUAUACAGGAUUUUGAUGAUCUCAGUCAUGGACUAGAUUGCGAGUGCGACGAGUGUGUCUAUGGUGGACAAUGUUUAUGAGAUUUGAUGUUUACAAUCAUUCUUUUGUGUGUACAUAUGGAUGGUUAUAGAAAUCAAUUUUGGUGGAUCAGAUUACAGGUGGGAGACUUGUUAUGUUUGGUGGGAGAUACAUUUUGUGUAAUUAAUAGGUGAGAGAGAGAUGUUAAUGAUAUGACAGGUGGGAGAUUCUUUUGUGUGUAUACUUGGAUAUUUGGAUUAUUGUAAUAUAAUGGAUUACUGUAUAUAACAUUGUGGAUAAUUGUGAAUCUAAUAUCAGGUAUCACAUA
Macadamia integrifolia is the source of this 554-nucleotide long non-coding RNA. RefSeq lists it as uncharacterized. Lineage: Eukaryota; Viridiplantae; Streptophyta; Magnoliopsida; Proteales; Proteaceae. The record is from RefSeq and is a predicted model, not a curated record. The transcript has 2 exons.